CAGGACGAACGCUGGCGGCGCGCCUAACACAUGCAAGUCGAACGAGAGAUGAGGAGCUUGCUCUUCAAAUCGAGUGGCGAACGGGUGAGUAACGCGUGAGGAACCUGCCUCAAAGAGGGGGACAACAGUUGGAAACGACUGCUAAUACCGCAUAAGCCCACGGCUCGGCAUCGAGCAGAGGGAAAAGGAGUGAUCCGCUUUGAGAUGGCCUCGCGUCCGAUUAGCUAGUUGGUGAGGUAACGGCCCACCAAGGCAACGAUCGGUAGCCGGACUGAGAGGUUGAACGGCCACAUUGGGACUGAGACACGGCCCAGACUCCUACGGGAGGCAGCAGUGGGGAAUAUUGCACAAUGGGGGAAACCCUGAUGCAGCGACGCCGCGUGGAGGAAGAAGGUCUUCGGAUUGUAAACUCCUGUUGUUGAGGAAGAUAAUGACGGUACUCAACAAGGAAGUGACGGCUAACUACGUGCCAGCAGCCGCGGUAAAACGUAGGUCACAAGCGUUGUCCGGAAUUACUGGGUUUAAAGGGUGCGUAGGCGGUUUGAUAAGUUAGAGGUGAAAUUUCGGGGCUCAACCCUGAACGUGCCUCUAAUACUGUUGAGCUAGAGAGUAGUUGCGGUAGGCGGAAUGUAUGGUGUAGCGGUGAAAUGCUUAGAGAUCAUACAGAACACCGAUUGCGAAGGCAGCUUACCAAACUAUAUCUGACGUUGAGGCACGAAAGCGUGGGGAGCAAACAGGAUUAGAUACCCUGGUAGUCCACGCAGUAAACGAUGAUAACUCGUUGUCGGCGAUACACAGUCGGUGACUAAGCGAAAGCGAUAAGUUAUCCACCUGGGGAGUACGUUCGCAAGAAUGAAACUCAAAGGAAUUGACGGGGGCCCGCACAAGCGGAGGAACAUGUGGUUUAAUUCGAUGAUACGCGAGGAACCUUACCCGGGCUUGAAAGUUAGCGACGAUUCUUGAAAGAGGAUUUCCCUUCGGGGCGCGAAACUAGGUGCUGCAUGGUUGUCGUCAGCUCGUGCCGUGAGGUGUCGGGUUAAGUCCCAUAACGAGCGCAACCCCUACCGUUAGUUGCCAUCAGGUCAAGCUGGGCACUCUGGCGGGACCGCCGGUGUAAGCCGAGAGGAAGGUGGGGAUGACGUCAAAUCAGCACGGCCCUUACGUCCGGGGCUACACACGUGUUACAAUGGUAGGUACAGAGGGUAGCUACCCAGCGAUGGGAUGCGAAUCUCGAAAGCCUAUCUCAGUUCGGAUUGGAGGCUGAAACCCGCCUCCAUGAAGUUGGAUUCGCUAGUAGUCGCGCAUCAGCCAUGGCGCGGUGA
RNAcentral lists this ribosomal RNA (1322 nucleotides) under uncultured bacterium. Its description in RNAcentral is "bacterial SSU rRNA". It matches the Rfam family "Bacterial small subunit ribosomal RNA", at positions 25 to 1365 of the family's 1533-position model. The record is from RNAcentral.